UNGGUGUGAUAGAGAACCCAUCAGUGGCGAGG
RNAcentral lists this non-coding RNA (32 nucleotides) under Mus musculus (house mouse). The record is from RNAcentral. Lineage: Eukaryota; Metazoa; Chordata; Mammalia; Rodentia; Muridae.